AUCUCAGAAUUCGGGAUGUACUGUACUGUAUGUUCAUGUUAAAAGACAAAAUACAGCUAUUAACUUGAAAGUAAAGCAUUCUUGGUGUUUUUGGUCGCAUCAUGUGGCAAUAGUCUGUAU
Molecule: long non-coding RNA, 120 nt
Organism: Etheostoma cragini (Arkansas darter)
Lineage: Eukaryota; Metazoa; Chordata; Actinopteri; Perciformes; Percidae
Exons: 3
Source: RefSeq, a predicted model, not a curated record